UAUUGGACAAUGGGCGAAAGCCUGAUCCAGCCAUGCCGCGUGUGUGAAGAAGGUCUUCGGAUUGUAAAGCACUUUAAGUUGGGAGGAAGGGCAUUAACCUAAUACGUUAGUGUUUUGACGUUACCGACAGAAUAAGCACCGGCUAACUCUGUGCCAGCAGCCGCGGUAAUACAGAGGGUGCAAGCGUUAAUCGGAAUUACUGGGCGUAAAGCGCGCGUAGGUGGUUUGUUAAGUUGGAUGUGAAAUCCCCGGGCUCAACCUGGGAACUGCAUUCAAAACUGACUGACUAGAGUAUGGUAGAGGGUGGUGGAAUUUCCUGUGUAGCGGUGAAAUGCGUAGAUAUAGGAAGGAACACCAGUGGCGAAGGCGACCACCUGGACUAAUACUGACACUGAGUGCGAA
Molecule: ribosomal RNA, 402 nt
Filed under: uncultured bacterium
Lineage: Bacteria
Description: bacterial SSU rRNA
Rfam family: Bacterial small subunit ribosomal RNA
Source: RNAcentral